Molecule: ribosomal RNA, 374 nt
Filed under: uncultured organism
Description: partial 16S ribosomal RNA
Rfam family: Bacterial small subunit ribosomal RNA
Source: RNAcentral
GUAGGUGGCAAGCGUUGUCCGGAAUUAUUGGGCGUAAAGCGCGCGCAGGCGCUUCUUUAAGUCUGAUGUGAAAGCCCACGGCUCAACCGUGGAGGGUCAUUGGAAACUGGAGAACUUGAGUACAGAAGAGGAAAGCGGAAUUCCACGUGUAGCGGUGAAAUGCGUAGAGAUGUGGAGGAACACCAGUGGCGAAGGCGGCUUUCUGGUCUGUAACUGACGCUGAGGCGCGAAAGCGUGGGGAGCAAACAGGAUUAGAUACCCUGGUAGUCCACGCCGUAAACGAUGAGUGCUAAGUGUUAGGGGGGUUUCCGCCCCCCUUAGUGCUGCAGCUAACGCAUUAAGCACUCCGCCCUGGGAGUACGGCCGCAAGGCUG